RNAcentral lists this ribosomal RNA (497 nucleotides) under uncultured bacterium. RNAcentral's name for it is "partial 16S ribosomal RNA". It matches the Rfam family "Bacterial small subunit ribosomal RNA", at positions 28 to 507 of the family's 1533-position model. The record is from RNAcentral.
GAUGAACGCUGGCGGCGUGCCUAAUACAUGCAAGUCGAGCGAACGGACGAGAAGCUUGCUUCUCUGAUGUUAGCGGCGGACGGGUGAGUAACACGUGGAUAACCUACCUAUAAGACUGGGAUAACUUCGGGAAACCGGAGCUAAUACCGGAUAAUAUUUUGAACCGCAUGGUUCAAAAGUGAAAGACGGUCUUGCUGUCACUUAUAGAUGGAUCCGCGCUGCAUUAGCUAGUUGGUAAGGUAACGGCUUACCGAGGCAACGAUGCAUAGCCGACCUGAGAGGGUGAUCGGCCACACUGGAACUGAGACACGGUCCAGACUCCUACGGGAGGCAACAGUAGGGAAUCUUCCGCAAUGGGCGAAAGCCUGACGGAGCAACGCCGCGUGAGUGAUGAAGGUCUUCGGAUCGUAAAACUCUGUUAUUAGGGAAGAACAUAUGUGUAAGUAACUGUGCACAUCUUGACGGUACCUAAUCAGAAAGCCACGGCUAACUACGUG